Non-coding RNA from Lonchura striata (white-rumped munia), 1494 nucleotides. The record is from RefSeq and is a predicted model, not a curated record. Lineage: Eukaryota; Metazoa; Chordata; Aves; Passeriformes; Estrildidae.
CAUCCGGAGCCCACUCCAGUGCAGUCCCUCCUUCCCAGGGCAUGAGAGCUUCCUUCGCCCUGCCUGGCCCUGCUGCCAGUGUGUGUCAUGGAGCCCUCUGAGUGUUGGCUUUGCAAUUCUCCUGUAGUGGGCUGGUAUUUCACAUCUAAUCCUCUUCCUUCUGAAAGAGGUGGAGUAGAUGUGUGUGCAGAAUACACUAUUGGGUAAAUCAAAACUUUGAACUGGAAUUAAAAAACUUGCCCCAGCUACUCAGCUCUGGUAUAAAAAUUAUUUUGCUGGACUUAAAAGACCUAAGCCUGCUGCCAAUGCUGUCCUUCAGAGCCUUUGCUAUGGAAAAUUGCAUUUUUUCAACCUGUGUAGAAAAAUUGCAGCUUAUGGGAUAUUGGGCCAUGUCAGGUAGGGCUUUUAGUCUUCCACAACUACCAAUACAUUGGACACAUUGGAUUCAAAAGAGGAUGGAUGGGAUUUCCAGCUUUAGGUGUUACAGAGGAAGGAGGAGGAAAUAUAAUGAGCAAAGUUAAUUGUAAGUGCAGGUUUGUAGGCCUGUGGUCACUACCAUAUAGUUGGUUUGCUGAUGAAAAGGUAGUAAGUCCUUGUGAGUUUGAUACCCAAACUCAUAUGAGUGGGUAUCAAAUUCAUAAGAUGCCCAAAAAUAUGUAAUCAUCCCUUCUCUUUCCCCUGUUUCUUCUUUCUAUUGUACCAGACUGCCAUUUGUUAUUUCACUCCCGGAGCUCAGAUACUGCCGAGUUCUGCCUGAACGUAGGCAAGAGAAGAACACUUCCUUCCUGCUGACUUGCUUGUCUGCCCAGACCUUCUGCAUGGAUGGGAUUCAGUGCGUGGCUGCUACCAGAAGGGGACAGUGUGCCCUCAGCAUCACACUGUCCGUGCCACAAAGCUCGGAGCUCUUUGCUACAUUGGCUGAACAAUCUGCCUCGGGAAACUUUUAUCAACAAUCACUGCAUUUCUAUUUUGCAUUAAGUGUCUUGCGUGAUUAUCAAAAUGUCCCUAAGAAAGCUGUCAGCAGAGAGGGAAUCAGAGCAGGCCAGAAGCCUCUAGAUUUUAAACUGACCCAAAACUGAAACAGGGAAACUCAAGACUAAGGUGUCAGACCAUGUUUUCCCAGGAGAACCUGGAUGCAGGAAUCUUUGGUACAUGGUUCUCAUGAGGAACAAAGCUCCUGAAACCCUCCAGGGUUCUUUGUAGCAGGGAGUUGACCUUACAUGUGUGCACAUCCAACAGAUUGAGUUUCUGGGAUGGGUUAUUUUGGAUGGGAGGAACUGUGGGAGCAGUAAAAUAUUUUUAAGUCAAAUUACCCACAUAAUAGCUGAACUCAUUUCCCAUCCUCUCUGGGCAUGGUAAAGCACUAUAGGUAGUUGCACUUUUUUGCAUUGGGAGUUUAUAUGUAUUUUUUCUCUGGUGUUUUUUGUAGAUCUUUUGUCAUCCUAAGAUCUUCAUUAUCAUCCAAAAAGUAUUAAAAACCUGAUAUUUAUCUUA